This 814-nucleotide ribosomal RNA is filed under the name Salinicoccus sp. NH25. RNAcentral describes it as "bacterial SSU rRNA". It matches the Rfam family "Bacterial small subunit ribosomal RNA", at positions 76 to 873 of the family's 1533-position model. Lineage: Bacteria; Bacillati; Bacillota; Bacilli; Caryophanales; Staphylococcaceae. The record is from RNAcentral.
GAGCUUGCUCCUGUGACGCGAGUGGCGGACGGGUGAGUAACACGUAGGCAACCUGCCCAUCAGGCCGGGAUAACCACGGGAAACCGUGGCUAAUACCGGAUAAUCCUUUUCCUCACAGGAGGGAAAGUUGAAAGACGGCUUCGGCUGUCACUGAUGGAUGGGCCUGCGGCGCAUUAGCUAGUUGGUGGGGUAAGGGCCCACCAAGGCGACGAUGCGUAGCCGACCUGAGAGGGUGAUCGGCCACACUGGGACUGAGACACGGCCCAGACUCCUACGGGAGGCAGCAGUAGGGAAUCUUCCGCAAUGGACGAAAGUCUGACGGAGCAACGCCGCGUGAGUGAAGAAGGGUUUCGGCUCGUAAAACUCUGUUGUCAGGGAAGAACGUCCCCGUGAGUAACUGCACGGGGAGUGACGGUACCUGACCAGAAAGCCACGGCUAACUACGUGCCAGCAGCCGCGGUAAUACGUAGGUGGCAAGCGUUAUCCGGAAUUAUUGGGCGUAAAGCGCGCGUAGGCGGUUCGUUAAGUCUGAUGUGAAAGCCCCCGGCUCAACCGGGGAGGGUCAUUGGAAACUGGCGGACUUGAGUGCAGAAGAGGAGAGUGGAAUUCCAUGUGUAGCGGUGAAAUGCGCAGAGAUAUGGAGGAACACCAGUGGCGAAGGCGGCUCUCUGGUCUGUAACUGACGCUGAGGUGCGAAAGCGUGGGGAUCAAACAGGAUUAGAUACCCUGGUAGUCCACGCCGUAAACGAUGAGUGCUAAGUGUUAGGGGGUUUCCGCCCCUUAGUGCUGCAGCUAACGCAUUAAGCACUCCGCC